UAGAGUUUUGAUCCUGGCUCAGGAUGAACGCUGGCGGCGUGCCUAAUACAUGCAAGUCGAGCGAACAGAUAAGGAGCUUGCUCCUUUGAAGUUAGCGGCGGACGGGUGAGUAACACGUGGGUAACCUACCUAUAAGACUGGGAUAACUUCGGGAAACCGGAGCUAAUACCGGAUAACAUUUAGAACCGCAUGGUUNUAAAGUGAAAGAUGGUUUUGCUAUCACUUAUAGAUGGACCCGCGCCGUAUUAGCUAGUUGGUAAGGUAACGGCUUACCAAGGCGACGAUACGUAGCCGACCUGAGAGGGUGAUCGGCCACACUGGAACUGAGACACGGUCCAGACUCCUACGGGAGGCAGCAGUAGGGAAUCUUCCGCAAUGGGCGAAAGCCUGACGGAGCAACGCCGCGUGAGUGAUGAAGGGUUUCGGCUCGUAAAACUCUGUUAUUAGGGAAGAACAAAUGUGUAAGUAACUGUGCACUCCUUGUACGGUACCUA
RNAcentral lists this ribosomal RNA (494 nucleotides) under Staphylococcus xylosus. RNAcentral's name for it is "bacterial SSU rRNA". It matches the Rfam family "Bacterial small subunit ribosomal RNA", at positions 1 to 481 of the family's 1533-position model. The record is from RNAcentral. Lineage: Bacteria; Bacillati; Bacillota; Bacilli; Caryophanales; Staphylococcaceae.